Molecule: ribosomal RNA, 494 nt
Filed under: uncultured bacterium
Lineage: Bacteria
Description: partial 16S ribosomal RNA
Rfam family: Bacterial small subunit ribosomal RNA
Source: RNAcentral
GACGAACGCUGGCGGCGUGCUUAACACAUGCAAGUCGAACGGAAAGGCCUGCUUUCCCUUGUGGAUUGCGGGUACUCGAGUGGCGAACGGGUGAGUAACACGUGAGUGAUCUGCCCCCAACUUGGGUAUAAGCCUGGGAAACUGGGUCUAAUUCCCGAUAGGACUGCAGGGUGGUGCCUGUGGUGGAAAACGGUUUUCUAGUGGUUGGGGAUGAGCUCGCGGCCUAUCAGCUUGUUGGUGGGGUAAUGGCCUACCAAGGCGGCGACGGGUAGCCGGCCUGAGAGGGUGGACGGCCACAUUGGGACUGAGAUACGGCCCAGACUCCUACGGGAGGCAGCAGUGGGGAAUAUUGCGCAAUGGGCGGAAGCCUGAUGCAGCGACGCCGCGUGGGGGAUGACGGCCUUCGGGUUGUAAACUCCUUUCGACCGCGAGGAAGCCACCUGGUUGGAAGGGUGGUGACGGUAGUGGUAGAAGAAGCACCGGCUAACUACGUG